GGGCUGAAUGGUCGCUGAGACAGAGAUGGAAGCCAGGACAAGGGAGCCCACCGGGCCCAGAUAGAGACUUCAGAACCCACUCCUGAGAACAGCGGAGCCAGGCGCUUAGAGGAAGACCAAAUGCUGCCAGGACACGGAUUGUCCAGGAUUACAUUCCAGCAUCUUAUUAGAUGGCCUGAUUAGCCAGAGGUUUCCAGGCCGUCUGUCCGCCUCCAGGAGAUGGACUGGGACCUUUAGACAUCGGUGGAGAACAGGAUGCUCUGUCCCUUGCUGUCCAGGGCAGGGAUGGCCUCCAGCCGCAAGAAGUACAGCAGCACCUCGACCUGCCCUCGCGGAGUGGGGAAGAGGAGAGUGGCUCAGAGCGGGGCUCACAGCUGCUGGUGGGGAGGUCUUUGGGGCCCAAGCUCCCAAGUCCACCUCAGGUGCUAGAAACCCCUGCUGGUGUCAUGAACCCCUUACAGUGGGACGGGGGUGGGGUGGGGUCCUGACAAGGCAUGACUUGUUGGGUGAGGGGUGGUUAUUUAUUUUAGAGAUGCACAGGGCCUUGCUCUGUCCCCCAGGCUGGAGUACAGUGGCUCCAUCAUGGAUCACUGCAGCCUCUAACUCCUGGGCUCAAGCAAUCCUCCUGUGUCAGCCUCCCAGAUACCUAGGAUUACAGAUGUGUGCCCCAAUGCCUGCCUAAUUUUUCUUUGUAUUUUUUCUGGAGAUGGGGUUUGCUACAUUGCCCAGACUGGUCUCAAACACCUGGGUUCAGUUGUCCUGCCUCGGCCUCCCAAAGUGCUGGGAUUACAGGCAUGAGCCACCACACUCGAACACUUGGGGUGGUUUUAAGCCCCCAGCAAGGUGCACCAGCAGGACCAGGAGGUGGCCUGGGCACCCCCUAUCACUCCCAUCCAUGCAAACCUAGGCAAGUCCCUGUCUCUGAAUCUCAGCCACCACCACAUACAAUGCAAGUGGGAAGAUGGGCAGGACUGGGGGUGGGGCAGGCAGAGGCCACCUCUGUCAGGCUGGGGUUGCAUGGGCUGGAGGCUGUCUUCCCAUACCUGGGACAUGACCUCCAAGGACCAGCUGUCAGUCAUGGUGAUGGGCUGGCUGGGGUUGGCAGGGAGCUUGCUCUCCUUCUCGGAGGGCCGGAGCAGCGUGGGGCCAAACACCGUGCCAAGGUUGUGCAGGGACAUCUUAUUGACUGCCUCCUUCUCUGCCAUCCUGUAGAGGACCGAAGCAGAGGGUGCUGUUUCAACGCCACCACCAGGAGAGAGGCAGAGGGGCUGUGCCGUGCUAGAGUCCUCAGGGAGGGAGUGACCUCGACCCUGGCUGUGCUGCAAGCUGACUCCAGCCUUGGGGUCAGCAGCACCCGGCAAACAGCAGCAGGAGGAGCCGCUAGAGCAGCUGCUCAUGGGCAGAGCUGCCCUCGGGCAACUCCUGCCACCACCCCCUCCCCAGGGAGCCCAAGGCAGGGGAGGCUCAGCAUGGAAUGAAACAGGGGAGUGAGGGACACAAGGAGGUGGGAAGUGGGAGGGUCCCAGCCCCACCAAGUACGCAGAGAACCCCUCGUUGUCCUGGACACCACAGGGGCACCUGCAGGCUGGGAGACCAGGUCCUCUGUGCAUGGGCCCGGGAGGCAGACCUGCCCUAAGGGUGAUGCACAGGCUACAGGUGCUGCACGCUCCAGCGCCCACUCUAGACAUCAGCCUCCAGGUUGACUAAGGGUCAGGUCAUGUUUGAAACCAUGCUUGGCUGGACCAGGACCCAUGGCAAGAGCACCUGGGCACCAGUGUUUAGCCCUGGUCUGCAGGAAGGAGGACAGCAGACUUUAGGACCCCACAGCACGGCAGUGCUGACCAUUUCACCCACUUGGCCUCCUUGAGAAAUAUGGAUGGGGACCCCUCUGGGGAUGGGCAAGGCCUUCCAGGAUAGGCUCAGUUUUGGUCCCCUGCUUUUUGAGGUUGGGUUAAAAUUCCGACCAUGGCAGAGGAAGCACAGCUCAGGUUCCCACACCUCACUUUUCACAGCCUCUGAGGGCAGCAGUGCACGUGGAGGAGACGUCUCCCAUGAGGCCAAGGCCUCCAGUGCUCACCGAUGCCCUCUGCGAAGUUGGGGUAGAACUCGUCAGUGAAGAGGGGCUCGGGCAGCUCACGGAAAUACAGCUUCAGCGUGCCUGCGAUGGCGUUCACGUCCAUCUCGCUCAUCAUCACCGACACGUCCUUGUUAUCUGGAAAGAGCACGGAAAUGCAGCGGCCUCCUUGAAGAUCCUGAUAAAUGAAGAAAAGACACAGAGAAGGAUGUGACAUGCCUGGGCCGUGGAGCACUCUGAGAUCUCAUCGCGGACACCACUGCCCACACCUCCAUCCCGUCCUGCGCAGGCCGACACUCACUGACGUUGAAGGCUGCCUUCAGUGCCUGGAUGUCUGCGGCCACCCCAGACAUGCGGUAGAUGCCCACCUCCUCCAUGCCUCGGCGCUCGAUCUCCUCCACGCACUGGCGCACGAUGUAGGGCACCUUGGACCUCUCUCUCCUGCGGGAGGAGGGAAUGUUCUCAGUGUCCUAACAGCCCUGCUUGGGCCAUAACACAGGAGACCUGCUCCCUAUGUGCACACCCGGAGGUGGGGUGAGGACGGUGAUGAAGGUACCCAGGUCUGGGGCUGCACACAGAGCCUUCUGCAUGCCUGUCCUCCCUCUGCAAGCUCUGUCCUCAUUGCAUGUGCUUUCUCAGGAACCUUUCAAGCGGCCAGAACCCCUGCAAAUCACACAUGACCUUUGUGGGAAGGUCAGGAGGCCUGUCUAAGUCAAGUCAGCACGGGAAGGGCAUCUGACAGAUUCCAGGCCUGGGGUGAGCAGCCUGUGCCCCCGGCUGGGAGGUCAGACCCGGUGUUGGUCCUGCCACCCACGUGCUGUGUGAGAGGAGAAUCCGUGACCCCUGCCCUGGGCCUUAACACACAUCCGACGAAUGAAUGAAGGGUUGCCUCAGCACCGGUGCUCCAAGUCCUGCGAUGCUAAGUGCUUUUCUCCUCUGAGUCUUAGCAAUGGACAAUUCCAAUACCUCCACACAGGACACUAGAGUAAGAAUCCUUCACAGUUAGAACGCAGUGCUGUGCGGAGGCCUUAACUUGAGUUCUGUUUUGCACCUGGAUUUACCAGCACAUCAAAGCUGCUUCGCAAGCCCCCUCAUCAGCAGGGCUCAUGUGGGGGAGCUGCUGAUGGAGUCCUCGCUGCUCAUGCCCACAGCCCUCCCAGAGUGCUAUGCGAGUGGCUGCCGUGCAGUUGGGGGUGGGGCGUGGUGUUUAGACACAGAUAGGAGUCCAGGGUAUGACUGAUGGAGGCCCCGGCCCACGUGACCAGCAAGGUCAGAGGCCCAGCCAGAUUCCAUCCUGAGGAAGCAAAUGAAUUCUCAGAGGAAGUGGUCUGUGUCUGCAUGAACUGCUCUCAAACCAACAAAUAGGCUUCUCUUGGCAACUGACUCGUGACAAAGGGUUCAAGAUUGUUUGAAAAAAAAAAAGGGGGGGGGGGGACAGGGAGGCAGUAGGUCCUGGAAAAGUAAAUUCUUUAUUUUACAAUAAGAAAGUGAUUACAUAUUUUAUUUUUUUUUACAAUGGUGGAAAAUUAGAAGUGAUUGUGAAAAUGAUGUCUACCCGCCUUGCUGAUGAGUAGGAUGUGAUUUGGCUCUUUAGGAAACUGAAUUUGCAGAACUUAAGAAUAUUGAUUUAUAAAGGGCAUGGCCAUUGACCCAGUCCAUCUUAUGCAAAUCUGGAUGCCAUAAAUAAUAUUUAAAAAUGAAAGUAUUGGGGUGGAGGUUGCAGUGAGCGGAGAUCGCCCCACUACACUCCAGCCUGGUCAACAG
RNAcentral lists this long non-coding RNA (3838 nucleotides) under Homo sapiens (human). RNAcentral's name for it is "non-protein coding lnc-DGCR6-2:28". Lineage: Eukaryota; Metazoa; Chordata; Mammalia; Primates; Hominidae. The record is from RNAcentral.